GGUGCUUGCAUCAUGAUUUACAUUUGAGUGAGUGGCGAACUGGUGAGUAACACGUGGGAAACCUGCCCAGAAGCGGGGGAUAACACCUGGAAACAGAUGCUAAUACCGCAUAACAACUUGGACCGCAUGGUCCGAGUUUGAAAGAUGGCUUCGGCUAUCACUUUUGGAUGGUCCCGCGGCGUAUUAGCUAGAUGGUGAGGUAACGGCUCACCAUGGCAAUGAUACGUAGCCGACCUGAGAGGGUAAUCGGCCACAUUGGGACUGAGACACGGCCCAAACUCCUACGGGAGGCAGCAGUAGGGAAUCUUCCACAAUGGACGAAAGUCUGAUGGAGCAACGCCGCGUGAGUGAAGAAGGGUUUCGGCUCGUAAAACUCUGUUGUUAAAGAAGAACAUAUCUGAGAGUAACUGUUCAGGUAUUGACGGUAUUUAACCAGAAAGCCACGGCUAACUACGUGCCAGCAGCCGCGGUAAUACGUAGGUGGCAAGCGUUGUCCGGAUUUAUUGGGCGUAAAGCGAGCGCAGGCGGUUUUUUAAGUCUGAUGUGAAAGCCUUCGGCUCAACCGAAGAAGUGCAUCGGAAACUGGGAAACUUGAGUGCAGAAGAGGACAGUGGAACUCCAUGUGUAGCGGUGAAAUGCGUAGAUAUAUGGAAGAACACCAGUGGCGAAGGCGGCUGUCUGGUCUGUAACUGACGCUGAGGCUCGAAAGUAUGGGUAGCAAACAGGAUUAGAUACCCUGGUAGUCCAUACCGUAAACGAUGAAUGCUAAGUGUUGGAGGGUUUCCGCCCUUCAGUGCUGCAGCUAACGCAUUAAGCAUUCCGCCUGGGGAGUACGGCCGCAAGGCUGAAACUCAAAGGAAUUGACGGGGGCCCGCACAAGCGGUGGAGCAUGUGGUUUA
RNAcentral lists this ribosomal RNA (899 nucleotides) under Lactiplantibacillus plantarum subsp. plantarum. RNAcentral's name for it is "bacterial SSU rRNA". It matches the Rfam family "Bacterial small subunit ribosomal RNA", at positions 64 to 948 of the family's 1533-position model. Lineage: Bacteria; Bacillati; Bacillota; Bacilli; Lactobacillales; Lactobacillaceae. The record is from RNAcentral.